Molecule: ribosomal RNA, 281 nt
Filed under: uncultured bacterium
Lineage: Bacteria
Description: partial 16S ribosomal RNA
Rfam family: Bacterial small subunit ribosomal RNA
Source: RNAcentral
UACGUAGGGCGCGAGCGUUGUCCGGAAUUAUUGGGCGUAAAGAGCUCGUAGGCGGCCUGUUGCGUCCGCUGUGAAAUCCCGGGGCUUAACCCUGGGCGUGCAGUGGAUACGGGCAGGCUGGAGGCAGGCAGGGGGAGAACGGAAUUCCCGGGUGUAGCGGUGAAAUGCGCAGAUAUCGGGAGGAACACCGGUGGCGAAGGCGGUUCUCUGGGCCUGUGCUGACGCUGAGGAGCGAAAGCGUGGGGAGCGAACAGGAUUAGAACCGUACCGUCGAGAUCCAA